This 133-nucleotide ribosomal RNA is filed under the name Cladonia rugulosa. RNAcentral's name for it is "5.8S ribosomal RNA". It matches the Rfam family "5.8S ribosomal RNA", at positions 3 to 135 of the family's 154-position model. From Rfam's summary of the family: 5.8S ribosomal RNA (5.8S rRNA) is a component of the large subunit of the eukaryotic ribosome. It is transcribed by RNA polymerase I as part of the 45S precursor that also contains 18S and 28S rRNA. Functionally, it is thought that 5.8S rRNA may be involved in ribosome translocation. The record is from RNAcentral. Lineage: Eukaryota; Fungi; Ascomycota; Lecanoromycetes; Lecanorales; Cladoniaceae. RNAcentral also lists the same sequence under 1 other name.
CUUUCAACAACGGAUCUCUUGGUUCUGGCAUCGAUGAAGAACGCAGCGAAAUGCGAUAAGUAAUGUGAAUUGCAGAAUUCAGUGAAUCAUCGAAUCUUUGAACGCACAUUGCGCCCCUCGGUAUUCCGGGGGG